UGGGGAAUUUGGACAAUGGGCGAAAGCCUGAUCCAGCAAUGCCGCGUGUGUGAAGAAGGCCUUCGGGUUGUAAAGCACUUUUGUCCGGAAAGAAAUCCUUGGCUCUAAUACAGUCGGGGGAUGACGGUACCGGAAGAAUAAGCACCGGCUAACUACGUGCCAGCAGCCGCGGUAAUACGUAGGGUGCAAGCGUUAAUCGGAAUUACUGGGCGUAAAGCGUGCGCAGGCGGUUUGCUAAGACCGAUGUGAAAUCCCCGGGCUCAACCUGGGAACUGCAUUGGUGACUGGCAGGCUAGAGUAUGGCAGAGGGGGGUAGAAUUCCACGUGUAGCAGUGAAAUGCGUAGAGAUGUGGAGGAAUACCGAUGGCGAAGGCAGCCCCCUGGGCCAAUACUGACGCUCAUGCACGAAAGCGUGGGGAGCAAACAGGAUUNGAUACCCUGGUAGUCCACGCCCUAAAACGAUGUCAACUAGUUGUUGGGGAUUCAUUUCCUUAGUAACGUAGCUAACGCGUGAAGUUGACCGCCUGGGGAGUAC
RNAcentral lists this ribosomal RNA (535 nucleotides) under uncultured bacterium. RNAcentral's name for it is "partial 16S ribosomal RNA". It matches the Rfam family "Bacterial small subunit ribosomal RNA", at positions 356 to 883 of the family's 1533-position model. The record is from RNAcentral.